AACCAUGAUUACCUGUACAAGGGGUUCCUCAAAGUAUGACAUGCAUUCAAAUUUCUUAUUUGGAAAGAACAGCGUGAUUGGUCCGAAAAAUGUCUUGCUUGACUCUUGGGCGAAAAUCUCAAAUGUAUUGCGGAAAAUUUUGCCCCAGUGUAGGCUUAUUUUACAAAAUCCCUCCAAUGAAAACUUGCCCCAGUGUGGGCACAUUUAAUUGCAAAAAUCUCUCAAAUGAAAAUUUGCCCCUGUGUGGGCCCAUUUGAUUGCAAAAAAUUUGUUCAGAUGAUUCCCCAUUUAUUUGAACAAAGAGAAAUCGCACCUUCCAAAAUUUAGAAAGUAAUCAUUUGAACGUUGAAUGCAGAAAUUUCAUGAUGAAUUCCUCGAAGUAACACCAAAUUCAAGAAAAUUUCUUCCUCACUUCUAGCAUUGGCGUUUAGGGUAACGGGUCACCACUUCUGAUUGGCUCAUCUUUCAGGACCAAUCAAGUGACUUUAUUAUUUUUUUGAAAUGGCUAAGGAAAUGGGAGGUCAGAAUUUGUUUGGCUUUUGUGCCCAAAAUUGUAAUGCAUUCAACAUCACAUCUUAGUGAAAGCAAAGAGUUUGUCACCCUUAUUUUUCAAGAAAACUUGGUCAACAUACAAGCUUUCUAGGCUUGUAACGUAUGGACAGAAUUGAUAGCUAAACAUGUGGAAACGGGUUAUACCCUUAUGAUCACAAAUGAUUUGAUGAAUUUCUUAUGAGUAUGAUCCUCACUUUGGAUUGUCAUGAAAGAAUAAGUCAACGAUGGACUUUAUUAGCUUGUAAUGUGGCUUGAAAACGAUAGUUUAAGACCUUCAAGGAUAUUGCACCAUAGAUUGCUUUUUUCCAAAAUUGCCCAUAUUUUGAACUCAAAAGAUUUCAGACUUUGUUUGGAUUUUCUCAUCAUUCCCCAGGGACCUCAGUGUCGAAUUUUUCUGCAUUUUCCUUUCUUGCUUCUUUUCUUCUUUUUCCUUUUCUUUUUCGAACUGAUGGGCUUUCACAUGGUGAGUAGCGUCAAUCCCAUAUCCAGGCAAUUCAGAAAUACAGCUAAAUUUUCCGGCAUCAGAAAUUUUCUUGACAAGGCCAUUGCAAAGAACAGAAGUCAGGACUUUCGGCUUUUGUAAUGGGGUCUGGUGUUGUUUAAAAAAGUUAAGGCUUGAAGGCAGAUUUUAAAAAUGGUUUGAAGAAUCUGAGAUCGCAUUGUUGCCAACCCUAUUUUAGGGCUAAACCAGAAUUUGCCCCAGUUUAUGCUCAAUUGAGGCUCUCUUUCAUUUUGUUUUUCCCUCGGCCUUUUGCCAUUCCUUUGAAAUUUUCAAAAAUUUGCCCCAGUUUAUUUUGAACUGAGGUUCUCUUUUCUUUUGCUUUUGAUUUUGCGACUUUUCACUUUUUCACUUCUUGAAUUUUCCCUUUCUUUUGCAAACUUGCCCCAGUGUGGGGUUUGCGAUUCUCAGGGGUUGCCAAACGAAGUAUUUUUAUUCUGAAGGCUCAAAAGGGAUAACUAGGGAUAGAAUGCUUGAUCGGAAAAGAAGAGGCCUGACUUUAAAUCCGUUCCUUACAAUAACUCUGAAAGGAAACUUUCGUUAAUGCGAAAUUUUUUUUUUGCAUGUAUCUGAAUUACUGACUAAGGAAGACCCUUGUUCAUCCAUAUUUGUGAAACAUAGAGGGUCCGCCAGACAACUUUUCUUUCUUUUCUUUUCACUCUUCUUUUUCUCACAAUUGAAGCUCAGGUAGAAUCAAAUUUCCCCAAUUUGCGGUUCCCCUUUUGAGUUUUAGUUUUUUUUUUUUUUUUUUUUUUUUUUUUUUUUUGGAAAAAUCUCCGAUCUCCCUCCCCAAUGUGGGGUGCGAUCAUAGGUGCUCUCGAAAAGAAUCACCAAUUUUUAGCUCAAAUGAGGAUGCAAUGGGUAAAUUGUGUUUAGAUUGUAGAAACGAUGGCCAAAGUAUCAUUCUUACACUCCAUGACAACCAAAGUAACGAAUUGCUCAUUGAAAAUUCAUUCCCCUUCUUGGAUAUUUGAAAAUUUUCCAAUAUAGGGUAGUGAUCAUUAGGGCUCUUAUUUGAAACGAAAUUAUUCUUUCAAAGGCUCAAAU
This 2098-nucleotide long non-coding RNA is filed under the name Coffea arabica (coffee). RNAcentral's name for it is "long non-coding RNA (CARA_LNC000181)". The record is from RNAcentral. Lineage: Eukaryota; Viridiplantae; Streptophyta; Magnoliopsida; Gentianales; Rubiaceae.